This 1026-nucleotide ribosomal RNA is filed under the name Flavobacterium psychrophilum. RNAcentral describes it as "bacterial SSU rRNA". It matches the Rfam family "Bacterial small subunit ribosomal RNA", at positions 223 to 1254 of the family's 1533-position model. RNAcentral also lists the same sequence under 2 other names. Lineage: Bacteria; Pseudomonadati; Bacteroidota; Flavobacteriia; Flavobacteriales; Flavobacteriaceae. The record is from RNAcentral.
AGAUGAGCAUGCGUCCCAUUAGCUAGUUGGUAAGGUAACGGCUUACCAAGGCAACGAUGGGUAGGGGUCCUGAGAGGGAGAUCCCCCACACUGGUACUGAGACACGGACCAGACUCCUACGGGAGGCAGCAGUGAGGAAUAUUGGUCAAUGGGCGCAAGCCUGAACCAGCCAUGCCGCGUGCAGGAUGACGGUCCUAUGGAUUGUAAACUGCUUUUGCACAGGAAGAAACACUCGGUCGUGACCGAGCUUGACGGUACUGUGAGAAUAAGGAUCGGCUAACUCCGUGCCAGCAGCCGCGGUAAUACGGAGGAUCCAAGCGUUAUCCGGAAUCAUUGGGUUUAAAGGGUCCGUAGGCGGCCAGAUAAGUCAGUGGUGAAAGCCCAUCGCUCAACGAUGGAACGGCCAUUGAUACUGUUUGGCUUGAAUUAUUUGGAAGUAACUAGAAUAUGUAGUGUAGCGGUGAAAUGCUUAGAGAUUACAUGGAAUACCAAUUGCGAAGGCAGGUUACUACAAAUUGAUUGACGCUGAUGGACGAAAGCGUGGGUAGCGAACAGGAUUAGAUACCCUGGUAGUCCACGCCGUAAACGAUGGAUACUAGCUGUUGGGAGCAAUCUCAGUGGCUAAGCGAAAGUGAUAAGUAUCCCACCUGGGGAGUACGUUCGCAAGAAUGAAACUCAAAGGAAUUGACGGGGGCCCGCACAAGCGGUGGAGCAUGUGGUUUAAUUCGAUGAUACGCGAGGAACCUUACCAAGGCUUAAAUGUAGAUUGACCGGUUUGGAAACAGACUUUUCGCAAGACAAUUUACAAGGUGCUGCAUGGUUGUCGUCAGCUCGUGCCGUGAGGUGUCAGGUUAAGUCCUAUAACGAGCGCAACCCCUGUUGUUAGUUGCCAGCGAGUCAUGUCGGGAACUCUAGCAAGACUGCCAGUGUAAACUGUGAGGAAGGUGGGGAUGACGUCAAAUCAUCACGGCCCUUACGCCUUGGGCUACACACGUGCUACAAUGGCCGGUACAGAGAGCAGCCACU